This 476-nucleotide ribosomal RNA is filed under the name uncultured bacterium. RNAcentral's name for it is "partial 16S ribosomal RNA". It matches the Rfam family "Bacterial small subunit ribosomal RNA", at positions 30 to 507 of the family's 1533-position model. The record is from RNAcentral.
UGAACGCUGGCGGCGUGCUUAACACAUGCAAGUCGAACGGGAAACCUUUUAAUGAAGCUUCGGCAGAUUUAGCUGGUUUCUAGUGGCGGACGGGUGAGUAACGCGUGGGUAACCUGCCUUAUACAGGGGGAUAACAGUCAGAAAUGACUGCUAAUACCGCAUAAGCGCACAGGACCGCAUGGUCCGGUGUGAAAAACUCCGGUGGUAUAAGAUGGACCCGCGUUGGAUUAGCUUGUUGGUGGGGUAACGGCUCACCAAGGCGACGAUCCAUAGCCGGCCUGAGAGGGUGAACGGCCACAUUGGGACUGAGACACGGCCCAGACUCCUACGGGAGGCAGCAGUGGGGAAUAUUGCACAAUGGGGGAAACCCUGAUGAAGCGACGCCGCGUGAAGGAAGAAGUAUCUCGGUAUGUAAACUUCUAUCAGCAGGGAAGAUAGUGACGGUACCUGACUAAGAAGCCCCGGCUAACUACGUG